CGCGGCCUAUCAGCUUGUUGGUGAGGUAACGGCUCACCAAGGCAUCGACGGGUAGCUGUCUGAGAGGAUGAUCAGCCACACUGGGACUGAGACACGGCCCAGACUCCUACGGGAGGCAGCAGUGGGGAAUAUUGCACAAUGGGCGCAAGCCUGAUGCAGCAACGCCGCGUGCGGGAAGAAGGCCCUAGGGUUGUAAACCGCUUUCAGCAGGGAAGAAACUGACGGUACCUGCAGAAGAAGGUGCGGCCAACUACGUGCCAGCAGCCGCGGUGACACGUAGGCACCAAGCGUUGUCCGGAUUUAUUGGGCGUAAAGAGCUCGUAGGCGGUUCAGUAAGUCGGGUGUGAAAACUCUGGGCUCAACCCAGAGACGCCACCCGAUACUGCUGUGACUUGAGUACGGUAGGGGAGCGGGGAAUUCCUGGUGUAGCGGUGAAAUGCGCAGAUAUCAGGAGGAACACCAGUGGCGAAGGCGCCGCUCUGGGCCGUAACUGACGCUGAGGAGCGAAAGCGUGGGUAGCAAACAGGAUUAGAUACCCUGGUAGUCCACGCCGUAAACGUUGGGCACUAGGUGUGGGUCUCAACCAACGAGAUCCGCGCCGCCGCUAACGCAUUAAGUGCCCCGCCUGGGGAGUACGG
RNAcentral lists this ribosomal RNA (638 nucleotides) under uncultured Ilumatobacter sp. Its description in RNAcentral is "bacterial SSU rRNA". It matches the Rfam family "Bacterial small subunit ribosomal RNA", at positions 232 to 885 of the family's 1533-position model. Lineage: Bacteria; Bacillati; Actinomycetota; Acidimicrobiia; Acidimicrobiales; Ilumatobacteraceae. The record is from RNAcentral.